RNAcentral lists this ribosomal RNA (252 nucleotides) under uncultured bacterium. Its description in RNAcentral is "partial 16S ribosomal RNA". It matches the Rfam family "Bacterial small subunit ribosomal RNA", at positions 525 to 776 of the family's 1533-position model. The record is from RNAcentral.
ACGGAGGAUCCAAGCGUUAUCCGGAAUCAUUGGGUUUAAAGGGUCCGUAGGCGGUCAGGUAAGUCAGUGGUGAAAGCCCAUCGCUCAACGGUGGAACGGCCAUUGAUACUGCUUGACUUGAAUUAUUAGGAAGUAACUAGAAUAUGUAGUGUAGCGGUGAAAUGCUUAGAGAUUACAUGGAAUACCAAUUGCGAAGGCAGGUUACUACUAAUAUAUUGACGCUGAUGGACGAAAGCGUGGGUAGCGAACAGG